CACCGCCCGUCACAUCAUGAAAGCCAUUUGUACCCGAAGUCCACGUGCUAACCGCAAGGAGGCAGUGGCCGAAGGUAUGGACGGUGAUUGGGAUG
Molecule: ribosomal RNA, 95 nt
Filed under: uncultured bacterium
Lineage: Bacteria
Description: partial 16S ribosomal RNA
Rfam family: Bacterial small subunit ribosomal RNA
Source: RNAcentral